RNAcentral lists this long non-coding RNA (878 nucleotides) under Cyanistes caeruleus (blue tit). RNAcentral's name for it is "lncRNA (ENSCCEG00000010412.1)". The record is from RNAcentral. Lineage: Eukaryota; Metazoa; Chordata; Aves; Passeriformes; Paridae.
GGAAAUUGUCUGGGAGCAAUUUGAUCCCAGAGAUCCCAGAGAGGCAAGUGUUGAUGAUCCAACCCUACCAGAAGCAGAGUCUGAGAGGGCUUUUUAACCCACAUUUACUCUGCUUUGCAGAAAAAUAGCUGUAAAAACAGUAAUUUGUCUCUUAAAAACUAUGAAUUCAAUUGAUACAGUGAUACGACUGCUAACCACAUGCUCAAAGGUGUGUGCUCCUCUGCUGUUCUCACCUCCUCUUACCAGGCACUGCAGUCUGGUUUCCUCUGCCACAGGAUGAUGGCAUUAGGACCAGUCAUGUGAUGGGACUUGAGGUUCAGCAGAGCAGUGUUUCUUAACAGGGCUACUGCUUUGUUCUUUGCAGAGCCUUCUGCUACAGACUAGUGGGGAUUUGGAGGGAAAGUCUGAAUAAUGCUUAGUCACAAGGUGAUGUCUCGGUCCUGCAGCAAAGAUGUUUGGCAAGUAAAGAGAGCUGCUGUGUGUGACACAUUUGGACAUCAGGCUCUGAGAAUAAAGAGGGACCCGCUAAUUGAUCUUCUGGAAGAAUAAAAUAUACUUUCUGCUUUAAACAACUGAAUCCUUACUAAAGAGGAAUUGAAUGUGAAAAUCUGCAUAUGCCUCACAUGCUGCUCUUCAUGGCCAGAAGGACAGUGAAACUCACAAAGCUUAAAAAGAGAAGGGGUGUUCCAGGUACGACAGUUUCUGACAAUCACACUUGUGCUGGUCACUUCAAGAACACUUCAUGCUGAGCUUUCAAUAGUAGCUAAUUCAGUGCUGAAUCAGUCACUAAAGCCUUUGGAGUAGUUGUGCCUUUGGAACGGAAGAGUUUGAGGAAAGAAGAAUCCUGAAAAAUGAAAUAAAGGAGGAGGGAAUUCUCA